This is a long non-coding RNA of Phacochoerus africanus (Common warthog), 352 nucleotides long. RefSeq lists it as uncharacterized. The record is from RefSeq and is a predicted model, not a curated record. NCBI's taxonomy places the organism in Eukaryota, Metazoa, Chordata, Mammalia, Artiodactyla, Suidae. The transcript has 3 exons.
UUUUUUGGCUGCAGGAGCAAGUAACGAUGAGUCUUCUCUUUCAACUGCUGUUAAAUCUGAGAUAUCCUGACUCUUGAGCUAAGAAGACAAAAGAAACCCUUUAUAUAUUUGGCCUACUUUCCAGAUUUGGGUAAGAGGAACUCACAAUUCAACUCAUACAGGAAUACGAGAAGUAGAUGAGAGUGAAGCUAAAGAGUCAGGGUGAGUUCGACUAUCCUAGCUUGGGACCAACCAGGAAGCCUGUCGAGAAGCCAGUGACACAACUCCGGCCUCAUGGAUACAUCUCUCCCUACCUCGCCUUCUUCAGCCGCGGCUUCUUUCAAGUCCCCAUCUCCGUCUCCAUCCGUUUCCU